GACGAACGCUGGCGGCGUGCUUAACACAUGCAAGUCGAACGGUAAGGCCCUUCGGGGUACACGAGUGGCGAACGGGUGAGUAACACGUGGGUGAUCUGCCCUGCACUUCGGGAUAAGCCCGGGAAACUGGGUCUAAUACCGGAUAGUACUGCGCGGNGCAUGCCGUGUGGUGGAAAGAUUUAUCGGUGCAGGAUGGGCCCGCGGCCUAUCAGCUUGUUGGUGGGGUAAUGGCCUACCAAGGCGACGACGGGUAGCCGGCCUGAGAGGGCGACCAGCCACACUGGGACUGAGACACGGCCCAGACUCCUACGGGAGGCAGCAGUGGGGAAUAUUGCACAAUGGGCGCAAGCCUGAUGCAGCGACGCCGCGUGAGGGAUGACGGCCUUCGGGUUGUAAACCUCUUUCAGCAGGGACGAAGCGCAAGUGACGGUACCUGCAGAAGAAGCACCGGCCAACUACGUGCCAGCAGCCGCGGUAAUACGUAGGGUGCAAGCGUUGUCCGGAAUUACUGGGCGUAAAGAGCCCGUAGGCGGUUUGUCGCGUCGUCUGUGAAAACCAGCAGCUCAACUGUUGGCUUGCAGGCGAUGCGGGCAGACUUGAGUAUUUCAGGGGAGACUGGAAUUCCUGGUGUAGCGGUGAAAUGCGCAGAUAUCAGGAGGAACACCGGUGGCGAAGGCGGGUCUCUGGGAAAUAACUGACGCUGAGGAGCGAAAGCGUGGGUAGCGAACAGGAUUAGAUACCCUGGUAGUCCACGCCGUAAACGGUGGGCGCUAGGUGUGGGUUUCCUUCCACGGGAUCCGUGCCGUAGCUAACGCAUUAAGCGCCCCGCCUGGGGAGUACGGCCGCAAGGCUAAAACUCAAAGGAAUUGACGGGGGCCCGCACAAGCGGCGGAGCAUGUGGAUUAAUUCGAUGCAACGCGAAGAACCUUACCUGGGUUUGACAUACACCGGAAAGCCGUAGAGAUACGGCCCCCCUUGUGGUCGGUGUACAGGUGGUGCAUGGCUGUCGUCAGCUCGUGUCGUGAGACGUUGGGUUAAGUCCCGCAACGAGCGCAACCCUUGUCCUGUGUUGCCAGCGGAUAAUGCCGGGGACUCGCAGGAGACUGCCGGGGUCAACUCGGAGGAAGGUGGGGACGACGUCAAGUCAUCAUGCCCCUUAUGUCCAGGGCUUCACACAUGCUACAAUGGCCGGUACAGAGGGCUGCGAUACCGUGAGGUGGAGCGAAUCCCUUAAAGCCGGUCUCAGUUCGGAUCGGGGUCUGCAACUCGACCCCGUGAAGUCGGAGUCGCUAGUAAUCGCAGAUCAGCAACGCUGCGGUGAAUACGUUCCCGGGCCU
RNAcentral lists this ribosomal RNA (1337 nucleotides) under uncultured bacterium. RNAcentral's name for it is "bacterial SSU rRNA". It matches the Rfam family "Bacterial small subunit ribosomal RNA", at positions 28 to 1381 of the family's 1533-position model. The record is from RNAcentral.